This 507-nucleotide ribosomal RNA is filed under the name Staphylococcus caprae. Its description in RNAcentral is "bacterial SSU rRNA". It matches the Rfam family "Bacterial small subunit ribosomal RNA", at positions 924 to 1430 of the family's 1533-position model. The record is from RNAcentral. Lineage: Bacteria; Bacillati; Bacillota; Bacilli; Caryophanales; Staphylococcaceae.
CACACGCGGUGGAGCAUGUGGUUUAAUUUGAAGCAACGCGAAGAACCCUUUCAAAUCUUGACAUCCUCUGACCCCUCUAGAGAUAGAGUUUUUCCCUUUGGGGGACAGAGUGACAGGUGGUGCAUGGUUGUCGUCAGCUCGUGUCGUGAGAUGUUGGGUUAAGUCCCGCAACGAGCGCAACCCUUAAGGUUAGUUGCCAUCAUUAAGUUGGGCACUCUAAGGUGACUGCCGGUGACAAACCGGAGGAAGGUGGGGAUGACGUCAAAUCAUCAUGCCCCUUAUGACUUGGGCUACACACGUGCUACAAUGGGCAAUACAAAGGGUGGCGAAGUCGCGAGGUCAAGCAAAUCUCAUAAAGUUGUUCUCAGUUCGGAUUGUAGUCUGCAACUCGACUACAUGAAGCCGGAAUCGCUAGUAAUCGUGGAUCAGCACGCCACGGUGAAUACGUUCCCGGGCCUUGUACACACCGCCCGUCACACCACGAGAGUUUGUAACACCCGAAGCCGG